RNAcentral lists this long non-coding RNA (457 nucleotides) under Anser brachyrhynchus (Pink-footed goose). RNAcentral's name for it is "lncRNA (ENSABRG00000010606.1)". Lineage: Eukaryota; Metazoa; Chordata; Aves; Anseriformes; Anatidae. The record is from RNAcentral.
CUCAUUUUUAAUGUCAUGAGAACUCUAAAAUGUAGUAUUAGAGGAAUACAAGAGUGGUAAUCAGUGGUAACUGUUUUUAUCCAGUUCUCAGAACAAAGCAGAUUGCAGGAGCUCUGUUUUGAAUUAAUUCCUGUGUUUUAGGGUAUCUAUAUUUUUUCUCCCACCCAGGAAAGUGUUCUAACUAUGAGCCUAGACUGCAAAGGGGUGCACCUGCUCCCUAAUUAGUAUGUCAUGCAAAAUAAACUCUUUCCCUAAAAAGACUGAGAAAAAUGCUCUCUUGCAUACUUACAGAUAUACACAUAGUGCAACAUACAGUGGUGAUGAAGCACUCUUUAGAAAGACAGAUAAGGAUUUAAAUUUGAAUUUCAAUUCCCUGGAUAGAAGAAGCUGUGAACUGAAGUACUCUACCUCUUCAAUGGAGAAUCUUAUGCAUUUUAUGGAAAUAGCACAGCUAUGA